AACGAACGCUGGCGGCAUGCCUAACACAUGCAAGUCGAACGAUGCUUUCGGGCAUAGUGGCGCACGGGUGCGUAACGCGUGGGAAUCUGCCCUUGGGUUCGGAAUAACAGUUAGAAAUGACUGCUAAUACCGGAUGAUGACGUAAGUCCAAAGAUUUAUCGCCCAGGGAUGAGCCCGCGUAGGAUUAGGUAGUUGGUGGGGUAAAGGCCUACCAAGCCGACGAUCCUUAGCUGGUCUGAGAGGAUGAUCAGCCACACUGGGACUGAGACACGGCCCAGACUCCUACGGGAGGCAGCAGUGGGGAAUAUUGGACAAUGGGCGAAAGCCUGAUUCAGCAAUGCUGCGUGAGUGAUGAAGGCCUUAGGGUUGUAAAGCUCUUUUACCCGGGAAGAUAAUGACUGUACCGGGAGAAUAAGCCCCGGCUAACUCCGUGCCAGCAGCCGCGGUAA
RNAcentral lists this ribosomal RNA (449 nucleotides) under uncultured bacterium. Its description in RNAcentral is "partial 16S ribosomal RNA". It matches the Rfam family "Bacterial small subunit ribosomal RNA", at positions 29 to 523 of the family's 1533-position model. The record is from RNAcentral.